Molecule: ribosomal RNA, 465 nt
Filed under: Starmerella bombicola
Lineage: Eukaryota; Fungi; Ascomycota; Dipodascomycetes; Dipodascales; Trichomonascaceae
Description: partial large subunit ribosomal RNA
Rfam family: Eukaryotic large subunit ribosomal RNA
Source: RNAcentral
AGCGGAGGAAAAGAAACCAACAGGGAUUGCCCUAGUAACGGCGAGUGAACAGGCAAGAGCUCAGAUUUGAAAGCCUCUCGGGGCAUUGUAUUCUGAAGCCUUGAUUCUGAGAAACGGUACCUAAGUCUUCUGGAAAGGAGCGCCAAGGAGGGUGAUAGCCCCGUACGGUACUGACCUCAUUGUAGAAUCUUGGCGUGGAGUCGAGUUGUUUGGGAAUGCAGCUCAAAUGGGUGGUAUGCUCCAUCUAAAGCUAAAUAUCUGCGAGAGACCGAUAGCGAACAAGUACUGUGAAGGAAAGAUGAAAAGAACUUUGAAAAGAGAGUGAAAAAGUACGUGAAAUUGUUGAAAUGGAAGGAUAGGCCGCUAACCACGUAGAGCCGUGUCUGAGGGGAGGAUAAAAGCUGUAGAAUGUGACUCUUCGGAGUGUUAUAGCUACAGUGCAUACUCCCACUCGGGCGCGAGGAC